Molecule: long non-coding RNA, 350 nt
Filed under: Ananas comosus (pineapple)
Lineage: Eukaryota; Viridiplantae; Streptophyta; Magnoliopsida; Poales; Bromeliaceae
Description: long non-coding RNA (ACOM_LNC017747)
Source: RNAcentral
AAAAAUUUGUAAGGACUGAGAUUUUUGACAGUGCAACUAAACUCUCUGUUGACGAUGUUUAUGUGUGUAAUAUAAUUACAUAAGCACUCGUCAAGUUUCAGGAGAAAAUGAGCUUAAACGGAGAAGUUACACGAUUAUUAGUUUUCACUUAAGUGAAUAGUAACUCCGAUUUUCCGGAGAAGCCACGGAGUAGAGUUGGCUUCUGGUGCGUAUCGGACUCCGUUCAUAUCAGUCCAAUAGCUCGUUUCGACCGGUUCAGCUGUUCUGGAACUAGUGGCGCUGAUGGAUUUUGAGUUUGACGCACGGAUUUCGAGAAAAUCCAAAAAUACAUGCUUUAUAUGUAUUUGUGU